CCCACAUGGCAGCUGACUCCGAGCCGGAUCCGUUUUCAAACCGGCAAAUCCGUGUUACAGUCACCUCCGUUUCACAGCUCAGGGCCGGGUGUCAGUGGGCGGGAACAUUCGCUAAACGGAUCUGUGCCGCAUCUGUGAAAACGAAUCCGUGAAAUUCUUCGGUGUGGUAGUUAUCGGCGGUACAGUACAUCCUCAGAGCUACAAAUUUCAUAAAGGCAAAUCUUUGGCGAUACAGACUCUGACAGUGAGCCAGAGACGGCUAUAAAGAGGAGAUGCCACAAUGUCCUCCCUUGUCCAGUACCACCUAUUCCUUCCCCUACUCCUGACAAUGAAGCUUGCCAGACUACUGCUAGACCUCUCCUAGACCAGAGGCAGACAGAAUCUUAUUUUACUGUGCCUCAAGUUGCAACACGUGUCUCUCACACACCAUCAAGCUCUAUGGGCCAGAUCUCUGCCACGCCUCUGCCAGAUGAGCAUUUCUUUAGGCCCACAUUUAGACCGGGGAAGACAGGCACUAGACCAAUUCCAUGCUCUGCUGCUCAGCUGCACAUCCUAACUUUAUUGGAACAUGUGAAGGAACAGCAAAUGGCGAUUGCUGCUGCUGUGAACAAUCUUGCUGCAAGACUGGGGACAGAGGCUCCUGUGGCUGAAAUGCCUAAAGACAUCAGUAUCCCCCUGACCACUGUGCCUGAAGUUGAGGAGUUUGAGGAAUGGCUUAAAGACUCAGGAAAUUCAUAAGCUAAACAAAACAUGAUAUCUGCUCUGGGUGCUGUUGGAGGUCAAAACACCAAAAGAGUGACAUGGAACAUACUUUCAAGGCUUUACUCAGAUGCAGUAGCCAAACAAAUAAACUGGAAAGGAGUCAAUGGGACUCGAAGUGCUUUAAGGAAAUGCUCACAAGAAGUUUAUUGAUCAGGGCUGUAAGAAAGAACCAGUCUUCGACCAAUGCAGCAGACAGUGAGAUAGAUUCUUAUGCCAUCCAUUGGUUCAAUCUUGCUCCUGACCAUGGCGGUGGCCGGAAAGAGCGUUCAAGAGUCAAAGAGGCGUUAACUGAGGUAAAUUCAGAUCCAAGAAGCAUAGUGGCAGUUACAUUUUUUCAUUAGGACAACAAGUCAGUAAUAGAGGUUGACUUCAUGAUAAAAAUAAAUUUCAACUUUUAUUUAAGGCAAAAAACUCAAACAUUAUUAA
Molecule: long non-coding RNA, 1188 nt
Organism: Xenopus tropicalis (tropical clawed frog)
Lineage: Eukaryota; Metazoa; Chordata; Amphibia; Anura; Pipidae
Exons: 6
Source: RefSeq, a predicted model, not a curated record